CCCCCAUCCCCCAUCCCCCAUGGCAGGAGAAACAGUCAAGUUUUUCCUGCCCAUCACUCAAUGGCUCAAUCGCAUCGCUCUCCCGGCAACACCGUAACGAGGAGCAACUUGCCGUUUGGAUAUAUCCUAGCUGUGUUUGUGCCCUCACUCAUGGUCCAGACUUUUUUCAAAUAGGAUAUGUAGUUUGUCUGCAGCGAGUGUUUUGGUAGAAACUGCGCCUCCCAUUCAUUAUAAUGGGAAAUGACCACAGACAAGUGCGCACACCAUCUUUGGACCUUGAGUGUGACGCGAUCGGGAGGGGGAGGCGGUCGCGCUGGGGGCGGCGCGACGCGGCUCGGGCCCGACAGUGCCCCACCGGGGCCCUAGUUCUUUCUUUCUUUCUUCUUUUUCCUCCCCUUUGAACUGGAAAAUGGCCCACUUCCCACUGGCGAAAACUCAUGAAAUUUGGCAGGACGACCGGGCCUGGUGAAAAAUUCGAUAUUCUGAAGUCGCCCAAACAAUAAAAUGCAAAAUGGCUCCAUAGCGCCCCCUAAGGUGGAAAUUCACACUAUUGACUGUCACGCCUGUACGCUUUGUCAUAUUGACACAAAAAUUGACACACAUAUGUAUCUCAAUAAGAUCUACAAAAAAGUCAGUGCGGCCGUAUCUGUCAAAAUUACGGUUAAAGGGUUAUUUCGCAUUUUUUGCCGAUCCGCACACAUUGGAAUUUCGCUAACUCCUCCGAAGGCUUUCGUUCCACCGGCACCACAUUUGCUCAGGCCAAUCUACACCCCGUGGCCAUUAAAAGUUAUCAAAAUCAUGACGCUGCACCCCAAGGUUUAGGUUCUAGGGGGCGCCAAAGAUAACACUAAAAUCCACAUAUUUAAAAGUCUUAUAACUUUUUAUUUUUGUCCUCACUGGCCUCCAAGUUUUCUAGGAUGAUGCAAUGUCCAGCCAUCAACACAUUUGUGAAGGAAUUUUUACUCACCAAAAGAGCGCCCCCCCAUGGCAGGAGAAAAAAGUCCAUUUUUUCUUGUCCCCUAAGGUGAAAAUACACAUUGUUGAGUGUCACGCCUAUACGCUUUGUCAAAAUUACACAAAAAUUGACACACACAUGUAACUCAAUAAGAUCUACGAAAAAGUCAAUGCGUGCGUAUCUGUCAAAUGUACGGUUAAAGGGUUAUUCCGCAUUUUUUGCCGAUCCGCACACAUUGGAAUGUGGCUAACUCCUCCUAAGGCUUUCGUUCCACCGGCACCACAUUUGCUCAGGCCAAUCUACACCCCAUGGCCAUUAAAAGUUAUUCAAAUCAUGACGCUGCACCCCACGGUUUAGGUUCUAGGGGGCGCCAAAGAUAACCCUAAAAUCCACAUAUUUAAAAGUCUUAUAACUUUUUAUUUUUGUCCUCACUGGCCUCCAAGUUUUCUAGGAUGAUGCAAUGUCCAGCCAUCAACACAUUUGUGAAGGAAUUUUUACUCCCCAAAAGAGCGCCCCCCAUGGCAGGAGAAAAAAGUCCAUUUUUUCUUGUCCCCUAAGGUGAAAAUACAUAUUGUUGAGAUUCACGCCUAUACGCUUUGUCAUAUUGACACAAAAUUUGACAAUCACGUGCCUUGCCUGGUAUCAUUUUUUUCAGCCCAACCUCACCUGUGCGAAUUUACAGUUAUUUUAUCAUGUUGACAUACUGAAUUUACACAAUGGACCCAAAUUCACACACAAAACAUAAAAUCCGAGUGGAAAAAAGUAACAUUUUUACUGUGAAAACCACAAAUAUGUGUGAUGAACUGUUUUUAAAACUUAAACUUCAAAUAAAAAUUGUAAACUUCAAAACAUAUGCAAAUUUUUAACAAAGAACAUAGUAAUUUACCUCUAUUUACAUCAAAAUGCAGGCAAUGGCCCAGGCGUUCUUUGUAAAAUUAUUUACAAAACACUGUAUAGUCUCACAAAUGUCACUUUUUAUUUAUGCCACUACAAAAAAACAUGAUGUAAAUGAUGCAUGAUGUAAAACAUGAUGUAAAAAACUUGUGUAGAUCCUCCUCUAUGUCAGUCCAUGUGUAAUUUUUCCAUAAUUCUUUGUUUUUUGCAGCAUUUUUGUUAGUGUAACUGCAGAUUGUGCUGACAGUGUCUAUGGCACAAAAAAAAAAAAAUUUAAAAUGCCUCAACAUGAACCCCUGGUGGUCUCUGAGGGUGAAACCUGCUAACUGCUGCAGCUCUGUCAGCUUCAGUCUCCCAUGCAGAGCUCUGAGCGCAUGUGUGGCUCUGCACCCUUAGCAGCGUUGCUAACUCCUCAGUAAGGAAAGCCUGCUUCAUGUCAGAGUCUCUAAUCUCCAGAAGAAGUCGAUAAAAGUCCCUUUCUUUCUAAAAAAAGUCGUUAGGGGGUCUGAAAAGUCAUUGAAUCUAACAACAAAGUCGCUAGGUUUGCAACUACGUGUCCCAGACUGCAUCCCUGCUGAGAGUCCCUCCCUCGCUUCUCAUGUUGCAGGAAGAACGUAAGCGCCCGCCCCUUGUCAAUCAGUCACCAUAUAAUUUUGGAUUGGUUGUUGUGGUGAAGUUUUCCACCAAUAGGAGAGAUGUUGUGGUGUGUUUUUUUUUUCUUUUGGCAAGCCUUUUCCGCCUGUAAGACCUGUCGCUAAUGUCUGCAUGCUAUGUUUUCCUGUCUCAUACAGCGCGAUCGAGCGCCGAACGUGAUCAAAAUAAGCAGAAAAAAAGUAUCGCGGACAUAAUUUAUCAUAACUCUGGUUUUAUUUGGCCUAUCAACACAAUUUAAAAACUGGUAUAUAGGUUGAGGUCCUCACUUUUGAGAUAAGUUGAAACGGAGAGUCAACGAGGCUCCGUCUUGCAGCUACAUCCGGUUAAAUAUGUCAUGUGACUUGAACGCACACACAGACACACACACACACACACACACACACACACACACACACACACACACACACACACACACACACACACACACUCAGAGUCUGGUUUUUAGCACCUGCAAAAACAUGCUAUUUACAUAUUUGACAAGAAUGCAGAGGCUCCUUUUGCCCCUGAAAAAAAUCAAAUUUCAAACACAACUUGACUGGUCAUUUCUCCAAAAGACAACCAUGAAGCUCCAUCCAAACCUGAAGCAGGCAGUUGGUGCAUGUGUACAGUAACCUGAGGGGAGUGAGGUGAGUGCUUCUGAGGAGAACAUGAGCAGUGAAGAUUCACCUUGGAGCUAGAACAGAGACAUGCACAUGAUUAUACAGGGGCAGGGGCUCAAGUUUUUUCCAGUCGUCUAUACAAUAUGGAAAUUAAUGUGAAAUUAAAACACAAAGUAUUAAUAGAAAGGUAAUGACUGUUCUGUGUAGGUGACAGUGAUAUCCAAUAGGCUAGGCACUCACGAGGCUGGCUGUGGCAAGUGUAAGUGAAAGCAACACGCACUGGCAGGAAGAACAGCAAACGCCGAUGAAGGAAAAGGGUCUUUGCAGUGAUGGGCGUUACCAGAGAGGGCGAUGGCCAGAGGACACAAAUGGGACGGGGAGGCAGCACGUUGGGGGGGACGCGACACGGCUCGGGCCCGCCAGUGCCCCAACGGGGUCCUAGUCUUUGUUUCUUUAGGGCCCGAGCGUAGCUGCUAAGCAGCUGCGAGAGCCCUCUUGUUCCUGUAGUUACCUUCUUUUGUUAUUAGGGCCCGAGCCAGCUGCAGAGCAGCCGGGCGUAGGCCCUAUUAUUCCCCAAGUGGUUUUUCUUUGUUUCUUUCUUUCUUUCUUUCUUUAGGGCCCGAGCCAGCUGCAGAGCAGCCGGGCGUAGGCCCUAUUAUUCCCCAAGUGGUUUUUCUUUGUUUCUUUCUUUCUUUCUUUCUUUCUUCUUUUUCCUCCCCUUUGAACUGGAAAAUGGCCCACUUCCCACUGGCGAAAACUCAUGAAAUUUGGCAGGACGACCGGGCCUGGUGAAAAAUUUGAUAUUCUGAAGUCGCCCAAACAAUAAAAUGCAAAAUGGCUCCAUAGCGCCCCCUAAGGUGAAAAUUCACACUAUUGACUGUCACGCCUGUACGCUUUGUCAUAUUGACACAAAAAUUGACACACAUAUGUAUCUCAAUAAGAUCUACAAAAAAGUCAGUGCGGCUGUAUCUGUCAAAUGUACGGUUAAAGGGUUAUUCCGCAUUUUUUGCCGAUCCGCACACAUUGGAAUUUCGCUAACUCCUCCGAAGGCUUUCGUUCCACCGGCACCACAUUUGCUCAGGCCAAUCUACACCCCGUGGCCAUUAAAAGUUAUCAAAAUCAUGACGCUGCACCCCAAGGUUUAGGUUCUAGGGGGCGCCAAAGAUAACACUAAAAUCCACAUAUUUAAAAGUCUUAUAACUUUUUAUUUUUGUCCUCACUGGCCUCCAAGUUUUCUAGGAUGAUGCAAUGUCCAGCCAUCAACACAUUUGUGAAGGAAUUUUUACUCCCCAAAAGAGCGCCCCCCAUGGCAGAAGAAAAAAGUCCAUUUUUUCUUGUCCCCUAAGGUGAAAAUACACAUUGUUGAGUGUCACGCCUAUACGCUUUGUCAAAAUGACACAAAAAUUGACACACACAUGUAACUCAAUAAGAUCUACGAAAAAGUCAAUGCGCGCGUAUCUGUCAAAUGUACGGUUAAAGGGUUAUUCCGCAUUUUUUGCCGAUCCGCACACAUUGGAAUGUGGCUAACUCCUCCUAAGGCUUUUGUUCCACCGGCACCACAUUUGCUCAGGCCAAUCUACACCCCGUGGCCAUUAAAAGUUAUCAAAAUCAUGACGCUGCACCCCAAGGUUUAGGUUCUAGGGGGCGCCAAAGAUAACACUAAAAUCCACAUAUUUAAAAGUCUUAUAACUUUUUAUUUUUGUCCUCACUGGCCUCCAAGUUUUCUAGGAUGAUGCAAUGUCCAGCCAUCAACACAUUUGUGAAGGAAUUUUUACUCCCCAAAAGAGCGCCCCCCAUGGCAGAAGAAAAAAGUCCAUUUUUUCUUGUCCCCUAAGGUGAAAAUUCACACUAUUGACUGUCAGGCCUGUACGCUUUGUCAUAUUGACACAAAAAUUGACACACACAUGUAUCUCAAUAAGAUCUACGAAAAAGUCAAUGCCGCGUAUCUGUCAAAUGUACGGUUAAAGGGUUAUUUCGCAUUUUUUGCCGAUGCGCACACAUUGGAAUUUCGCUAACUCCUCCUAAGGCUUUCGUUCCACCGGCACCACAUUUGCUCAGGCCAAUCUACACCCCAUGGCCAUUGAAAGUUAUUCAAAUCAUGAUGCUGCACCCCACGGUUUAGGUUCUAGGGGGCGCCAAAUAUAACCCUAAAUCCACAUAUUUAAAAGUCUUAUAACUUUUUAUUUUUGUCCUCACUGGCCUCCAAGUUCUCUAGGAUGAUGCAAUGUCCAGCCAUCAACACAUUUGUGAAGGAAUUUUUACUCCCCAAAAGAGCGCCCCCCCAUGGCAGGAGAAAAAAGUCAAUUUUUUCUUGUCCCCUAAGGUGAAAAUACACAUUGUUGAGUGUCACGCCUGUACGCUUUGUCAUAUUGACACAAAAUUUGACAAUCACGUGUGUCUCAAUAACAUCUACGAAAAAGUCAAUGCACGCGUAUCUGUCAAAUGUACGGUUAAAGGGCUAUUUUGCAUUUUUUGCCGAUUCGCACACAUUGGAAUGUGGCUAACUCCUCCUAAGGCUUUCAUCCCACUGACACCAAAUUUGCUCAGGCCAAUCUACACCCAUGGCCAUUAAAAGUUGUAAAAGUCAUGACGGUGCACCCCACGGUUUACGUUCUAGGGGGCGCCAAAGAUGACCCAAAUAUCCACAUUCUUAAAAGAAUCCACAUCUCCCCCCAUCCCCCAUCCCCCAUGGCAGGAGAAACAGUCAAGUUUUUCCUGCCCAUCACUCAAUGGCUCAAUCGCAUCGCUCUCCCGGCAACACCGUAACGAGGAGCAACUUGCCGUUUGGAUAUAUCCUAGCUGUGUUUGUGCCCUCACUCAUGGUCCAGACUUUUUUCAAAUAGGAUAUGUAGUUUGUCUGCAGCGAGUGUUUUGGUAGAAACUGCGCCUCCCAUUCAUUAUAAUGGGAAAUGACCACAGACAAGUGCGCACACCAUCUUUGGACCUUGAGUGUGACGCGAUCGGGAGGGGGAGGCGGUCGCGCUGGGGGCGGCGCGACGCGGCUCGGGCCCGACAGUGCCCCACCGGGGCCCUAGUUCUUUCUUUCUUUCUUCUUUUUCCUCCCCUUUGAACUGGAAAAUGGCCCACUUCCCACUGGCGAAAACUCAUGAAAUUUGGCAGGACGACCGGGCCUGGUGAAAAAUUCGAUAUUCUGAAGUCGCCCAAACAAUAAAAUGCAAAAUGGCUCCAUAGCGCCCCCUAAGGUGGAAAUUCACACUAUUGACUGUCACGCCUGUACGCUUUGUCAUAUUGACACAAAAAUUGACACACAUAUGUAUCUCAAUAAGAUCUACAAAAAAGUCAGUGCGGCCGUAUCUGUCAAAAUUACGGUUAAAGGGUUAUUUCGCAUUUUUUGCCGAUCCGCACACAUUGGAAUUUCGCUAACUCCUCCGAAGGCUUUCGUUCCACCGGCACCACAUUUGCUCAGGCCAAUCUACACCCCGUGGCCAUUAAAAGUUAUCAAAAUCAUGACGCUGCACCCCAAGGUUUAGGUUCUAGGGGGCGCCAAAGAUAACACUAAAAUCCACAUAUUUAAAAGUCUUAUAACUUUUUAUUUUUGUCCUCACUGGCCUCCAAGUUUUCUAGGAUGAUGCAAUGUCCAGCCAUCAACACAUUUGUGAAGGAAUUUUUACUCCCCAAAAGAGCGCCCCCCCAUGGCAGGAGAAAAAAGUCCAUUUUUUCUUGUCCCCUAAGGUGAAAAUACACAUUGUUGAGUGUCACGCCUAUACGCUUUGUCAAAAUGACACAAAAAUUGACACACACAUGUAACUCAAUAAGAUCUACAAAAAAGUCCAUGCGCGCGUAUCUGUCAAAUGUACAGUUAAAGGGUUAUUCCGCAUUUUUUGCCGAUACGCACACAUUGGAAUUUCGCUAACUCCUCCGAAGGCUUUCGUUCCACCGGCACCACAUUUGCUCAGGCCAAUCUACACCCCAUGGCCAUUAAAAGUUAUUCAAAUCAUGAUGCUGCACCCCACGGUUUAGGUUCUAGGGGGCGCCAAAAAUAACCCAAAAAUCCACAUUCUUAAAUGUUUUAUAACUUUUUAUUUUUGUCCUCACUGGCCUCCAAGUUUUCUAGGAUGAUGCAAUGUCCAGCCAUCAACACAUUUGUGAAGGAAUUUUUACUCCCCAAAAGAGCGCCCCCCCAUGGCAGGAGAAAAAAGUCAAUUUUUUCUUGUCCCCUUACAUAAAAAUACACAUUGUUGAGUGUCACGCCUGAACGCUUUGUCAUAUUGACACAAAAAUUGACAAUCAUGUGUAUCUCAAUUAGAUCUACGAAAAAGUCAAAGAGCACGUAUCUGUAUAAUGUACGGUUAAAGGGCUAUUUUGCAUUUUUUGCCGAUUCGCACACAUUGGAAUGUGGCUAUCUCCUCCUAAGGCUUUCGUCCCACCGAUACCAAAUUUGCUCAGGGCAAUCUACCCCCCAUGCCCAUUCAAAGUUGUAAAAAUCAUGACGCUGCACCCCACGGUUUACGUUCUAGGGGGCGCCAAAGAUGACCCAAAAAUCCACAUUCUUAAAAGUCAUUUUGGCCACUGCAGGAGUACAGAGUACUGCAGUUCUAGGGGGCGCCAAAGAUGACCCAAAAAUCCACAUUCUUAAAAGUCUUUUUGGCCACUGCAGGAGAACAGAGUACUGCAGGAUACACACACAUAUACACACACGCCAACAUACACACACACACACACACACACACACACACACACACAGACACACACACACACACACUCAGAGUCUGUUUUUUAGCACCUGCAAAAACAUGCUGUUUACAUAUUUGACAAGAAUGCAGAGGCUUCCUUUUGCCCCUGAAAAAAAUCAAAUUUCAAACACAACUUGACUGUUCAUUUCUCCAAAAGACAACCAUGAAGCUCCAUUUCAAACCUGAAGCAGAUAGUUGGUGCAUGUGUACAGUAACCUGAGGGGAAUGAGGUGACUAUUUCUGAGGAGAACAUGAGCAGUGAAGAUUCACCUUGGAGCUAGAACAGGGACGUGCACAUGAUUAUACAGGGGCAGGGGCUCAAGUUUUUUCCAGUCAUUUAUACAAUAUGGAAAUUAAUGUGAAAUUAAACCACAAAUAUGUGUGAUGAACUGUUUUUAAAACUUAAACUUCAAAUAAAAAUUGUAAACUUCAAAACAUAUGCAAAUUUUUAACAAAGAACAUAGUAAUUUACCUCUAUUUACAUCAAAAUGCAGGCAAUGGCCCAGGCGUUCUUUGUAAAAUUAUUUACAAAACACUGUAUAGUCUCACAAAUGUCACUUUUUAUUUAUGCCACUACAAAAAAACAUGAUGUAAAUGAUGCAUGAUGUAAAACAUGAUGUAAAAAACUUGUGUAGAUCCUCUUCUAUGUCAGUCCAUGUGUAAUUUUUCCAUAAUUCUUUGUUUUUUGCAGCAUUUUUGUUAGUGUAACUGCAGAUUGUGCUGACAGUGUCUAUGGCACAAAAAAAAAAAAAAAAUUAAAAUGCCUCAACAUGAACCCCUGGUGGUCUCUGAGGGUGAAAGCUGCUAACUGCUGCAGCUCUGUCAGCUUCAGUCUCCCAUGCAGAGCUCUGAGCGCAUGUGUGGCUCUGCACCCUUAGCAGCGUUGCUAACUCCUCUGUAAGGAAAGCCUGCUUCAUGUCAGAGUCUCUAAACUCCAGAAGAAGUCGAUAAAAGUCCCUUUCUUUCUAAAAAAAAGUCGUUAGGGUGUCUGAAAAGUCAUUGAAUCUAACAACAAAGUCGCUAGGUUUGCAACUACGUGUCCCAGACUGCAUCCCUGCUGAGAGUCCCUCCCUCCCUUCUCAUGUUGCAGGAAGAACGUAAGCGCCCGCCCCUUGUCAAUCCGUCACCAUAUAAUUUUGGAUUGGUUGUUGUGGUGAAGUUUUCCACCAAUAGGAGAGAUGUUGUGGUGUGUUUUUUUUUUCUUUUGGCAAGCCUUUUCCGCCUGUAAGACCUGUCGCUAAUGUCUGCAUGCUAUGUUUUCCUGUCUCAUACAGCGCGAUCGAGCGCCGAACGUGAUCAAAAUAAGCAGAAAAAAAGUAUCGCGGACAUAAUUUAUCAUAACUCUGGUUUUAUUUGGCCUAUCAACACAAUUUAAAAACUGGUAUAUAGGUUGAGGUCCUCACUUUUGAGAUAAGUUGAAACGGAGAGUCAACGAGGCUCCGUCUUGCAGCUACAUCCGGUUAAAUAUGUCAUGUGAUUUGAACGCACACAUAGACACACACACACACACACACACACACACACACACACUCAGAGUCUGGUUUUUAGCACCUGCAAAAACAUGCUAUUUACAUAUUUGACAAGAAUGCAGAGGCUCCUUUUGCCCCUGAAAAAAAUCAAAUUUCAAACACAACUUGACUGGUCAUUUCUCCAAAAGACAACCAUGAAGCUCCAUCCAAACCUGAAGCAGGCAGUUGGUGCAUGUGUACAGUAGCCUGAGGGGAGUGAGGUGAGUGCUUCUGAGGAGAACAUGAGCAGUGAAGAUUCACCUUGGAGCUAGAACAGAGACAUGCACAUGAUUAUACAGGGGCAGGGGCUCAAGUUUUUUCCAGUCGUUUAUACAAUAUGGAAAUUAAUGUGAAAUUAAAACACAAAGUAUUAAGAGAAAGGUAAUGACUGUCCUGUGUAGGUGACAGUGAUAUCCAAUAGGCUAGGCACUCACGAGGCUGGCUGUGGCAAGUGUAAGUGAAAGCAACACGCACUGGCAGGAAGAACAGCAAACGCCGAUGAAGGAAAAGGGUCUUUGCAGUGAUGGGCGUUAACAGAGAGGGCGAUGGCCAGAGGACACAAAUGGGACGGGGAGGCAGCACAUUGGGGGGGGGGGGAGACACGACACGGCUCGGGCCCGCCAGUGCCCCAACGGGGUCCUAGUUAUUAUUUUUCCUCCCCUUUGAACUGGAAAAUGGCCCACUUCCCACUGGCGAAAACUCAUGAAAUUUGGCAGGACGACCGGGCCUGGUGAAAAAUUUGAUAUUCCGAAGUCGCCCAAACAAGAAAAUGCAAAAUGGCUCCAUAGCGCCCCCUAAGGUGAAAAAUUCACUUGACGCCUGUACGCUUUGUCAAAAUGACACAAAAAUUGACACACACAUGUAUCUCAAUAAGAUCUACAAAAAAGUCAGUGCGGGCGUAUCUGUCAAAUGUACGGUUAAAGGGUUAUUGCGCAUUUUUUGCCGAUCCGCACACAUUGGAAUUUCGCUAACUCCUCCGAAGGCUUUCGUUCCACCGGCACCACAUUUGCUCAGGCCAAUCUACACCCCAUGGCCAUUAAAAGUUAUUCAAAUCAUGACGCUGCACCCCACGGUUUAGGUUCUAGGGGGCGCCAAAGAUAACACUAAAAUCCACAUAUUUCAAAGUCUUAUAACUUUUUAUUUUUGUCCUCACUGGCCUCCAAGUUUUCUAGGAUGAUGCAAUGUCCAGCCAUCAACACAUUUGUGAAGGAAUUUUUACUCCCCAAAAGAGCGCCCCCCCAUGGCAGGAGAAAAAAGUCCAUUUUUUCUUGUCCCCUAAGGUGAAAAUACACAUUGUUGACUGUCACGCCUGUACGCUUUGGCAAAAUGACACAAAAAUUGACAAUCAUGUGUAUCUCAAUUAGAUCUACGAAAAAGUCAAGAGCGCGUAUCUGUAUAAUGUACGGUAAAAGGGCUAUUUUGCAUUUUUUGCCGAUUCGCACAUAUUGGAAUUUCGCUAACUCCUCCUAAGGCUUUCGUCCCACUGACACCAAAUUUGCUCAGGCCAAUCUACACUCCAUGGCCAUUCAAAGUUGUAAAAAUCAUGACGCGGCACCCCACGGUUUACGUUUUAGGGGGCGCCAAAGAUGACCCAAAUAUACAUUACAGUAGACAAAGUAGUUUUGCCCACUGAGUGGCGCCAAAGGGACUUGUCUGUGGAGUCUGUGAGUCACUAUUGGCCGUUUUUGACUACUUUAGAUUUUACCUUUAUAUUUCCUCUUACAAAAUUUUUACCUUGCCUUGCCUGGUAUCAUUUUUUUCAGCACAACCUCACCUGUGUCAAUUUACAGUUAUUUUAUCAUUUUGACAUACUAUAUUUACACAUUGGACCCAAAUUCACACACAAAACAUAAAAUCCGAGUGGAAAAAAGUAACGUUUUUACUGUGAAAACCACAAAUAUGUGUGAUGAACUGUUUUUAAAACUUAAACUUCAAAUAAAAAUUGUAAACUUCAAAACAUAUGCAAAUUUUUAACAAAGAACAUAGUAAUUUACCUCUAUUUACAUCAAAAUGCAGGCAAUGGCCCAGGUGUUCUUUGUAAAAUUAUUUACAAAACACUGUAUAGUCUCACAAAUGUCACUUUUUAUUUAUGCCACUACAAAAAAACAUGAUGUAAAUGAUGCAUGAUGUAAAACAUGAUGUAAAAAACUUGUGUAGAUCCUCCUCUAUGUCAGUCCAUGUGUAAUUUUUCCAUAAUUCUUUGUUUUUUGCAGCAUUUUUGUUAGUGUAACUGCAGAUUGUGCUGACAGUGUCUAUGGCAAAAAAAAAAAAAAAAACUGAAAAUGCCUCAACAUGAACCCCUGGUGGUCUCUGAGGGUGAAACCUGCUAACUGCUGCAGCUCUGUCAGCUUCAGUCUCCCAUGCAGAGCUCGGAGCGCAUGUGUGGCUCUGCACCCUUAGCAGCGUUGCUAACUCCUCAGUAAGGAAAGCCUGCUUCAUGUCAGAGUCUCUAAACUCCAGAAGAAGUCGAUAAAAGUCACUUUCUUUCUAAAAAAACGUCGUUAGGGGGUCUGAAAAGUCAUUGAAUCUAACAACAAAGUCGCUAGGUUUGCAACUACGUGUCCCAGACUGCAUCCCUGCUGAGAGUCCCUCCCUCCCUUCUCAUAUUGCAGGAAGAACGUAAGCGCCCGCCCCUUGUCAAUCAGUCACCAUAUAAUUUUGGAUUGGUUGUUGUGGUGAAGUUUUCCACCAAUAGGAGAGAUGUUGUGGUGUGUUUUUUUUUUCCUUUGGCAAGCCUUUUCCGCCUGUAAGACCUGUCGCUAAUGUCUGCAUGCUAUGUUUUCCUGUCUCAUACAGCGCGAUCGAGCGCCGAACGUGAUCAAAAUAAGCAGAAAACAAGUAUCGCGGACAUAAUUUAUCAUAACUCUGGUUUUAUUUGGCCUAUCAACACAAUUUAAAAACUGGUAUAUAGGUUGAGGUCCUCACUUUUGAGAUAAGUUGAAACGGAGGGUCAACGAGGCUCCGUCUUGCAGCUACAUCCGGUUAAAUAUGUCAUGUGACUUGAACGCACACACACACACACACACACACACACACACACACACACACACACACACACACACACACACACACACUCAGAGUCUGGUUUUUAGCACCUGCAAAAACAUGCUAUUUACAUAUUUGACAAGAAUGCAGAGGCUCCUUUUGCCCCUGAAAAAAAUCAAAUUUCAAACACAACUUGACUGGUCAUUUCUCCAAAAGACAACCAUGAAGCUCCAUCCAAACCUGAAGCAGGCAGUUGGUGCAUGUGUACAGUAACCUGAGGGGAGUGAGGUGACUGCUUCUGAGGAGAACAUGAGCAGUGAAGAUUCAGCUUAGAGCUAGAACAGAGACGUGCACAUGAUUAUACAGGGGCAGGGGCUCAAGUUUUUUCCAGUUGUUUAUACAAUAUGGAAAUUAAUGUGAAAUUAAAAAACAAAGUAUUAAUAGAAAGGUAAUGACUGUCCUGAGUAGGUGACAGUGAUAUCCAAUAGGCUAGGCACUCAAGAGGCUGGCUGUGGCAAGUGUAAGUGAAAGCAACACGCACUGGCAGGAAGAACAGCAAACGCCGAUGAAGGAAAAGGGUCUUUGCAGUGAUGGGCGUUACAUGAGAGGACGAUGGCCAGAGGACACAAAUGGGACGGGGAGGCAGCGCGUUGGGGGGGGGACGCGACACAGCUCGGGCCCGCCAGUGCCCCAACGGGGUCCUAGUUAGGGCCCGAGCGUAGCUGCUAAGCAGCUGCGAGAGCCCUCUUGUUCCUGUAGUUUCCUUUUUUAGGGCCCGAGCGUAGCUGCUAAGCAGCUGCGAGAGCCCUCUUGUUCCUGCAUGUUUCCUUCUUUUGUUAUUAUUAGGGCCCGAGCGUAGCUGCUAAGCAGCUGCGAGAGCCCUCUUGUUCCUGCAUGUUUCCUUCUUUCGUUAUUAUUUUUCCUCCGCUUCAAACUGGAAAAUGGCCCACUUCCCACUGGCGAAAACUCAGGACAUUUGGCAGGACGACCGGGCCUGGUGAAAAAUUCGAUAUUCUGAAGUCGCCCAAACAAUAAAAUGCAAAAUGGCUCCAUAGCGCCCCCUAAGGUGAAAAUUCACAUGACGGCUGUACGCUUUGUCAUAUUGACACAAAAAUUGACACACACAUGUAUCUCAAUAAGAUCUACAAAAAAGUCAGUGCGGGCGUAUCUGUCAAAUGUACGGUUAAUGGGUUAUUUUGCAUUUUUUGCAGAUCUGCACACAUUGGAAUUUCGCUAACUCCUCCGAAGGCUUUCGUUCGACCGGCACCACAUUUGCGCAGGCCAAUCUACCCCCCAUGGCCAUUAAAAGUUGUACAAAUCAUGACGCUGCACCCCACGGUUUACGUUCUAGGGGGCGCCAAAGAUAACCCAAAAAUCCACAUUCUUAAAAGUCAUAACUUUUUACAUUUGUCCUCACUGGCCUCCAAGUUUUCUAGGUGGAUGCAAUGUCCAGCCAUCAACACAUUUGUGAAGGAAUUUUUACUCGCCAAAAGAGCGCCCCCCAUGGCAGGAGAAAAAAGUCCAUUUUUUCUUGUCCCGUAAGGCGAAUAUACACAUUGUUGAGUGUCACGCCUGUACGCUUUGUCAUAUUGACACAAAAAUUAACACACACAUGUAUCUCAAUAAGAUCUACGAAAAAGUCAAUGUGCGCGUAUCUGUAAAAUGUACAGUUAAAGGGCUAUUUCGCAUUUUUUGCCGAUUCGCACACAUUGGAAUGUGGCUAACUCCUCCUAAAGCUUUCGUCCCAUCGGCACCAAAUUUGCUCAGGCCAAUCUACACCCCAUGGCCAUUAAAAGUUGUACAAAUCAUGACGCUGCACCCCACGGUUUAAGUUCUAGGGGGCGCCAAAGAUAACCCAAAAAUCCACAUUCUUAAAAGUCUUAUAACUUUUUAUUUUUGUCCUCACUGGCCUCCAAGUUCUCUAGGAUGAUGCAAUGUCCAGCAAUUAACACAUUUGUGAAGGAAUUUUUACUCGCCAAAAGAGCGCCCCCCCAUGGCAGGAGAAAAAAGUCCAUUUUUUUCUUGUCCCCUAAGGCGAAUAUACACAUUGUUGAGUGUCACGCCUGUACGCUUUGUCAUAUUGACACAAAAUUUGGCAAUCACUUGUAUCUCAAUAAGAUCUACGAAAAAGUCAAUGUGCACGUAUCUGUAAAAUGUACGGUUAAAGGGCUAUUUCGCAUUUUUUGCCGAUUCGCACACAUUGGAAUGUGGCUAACUCCUCCUAAGGCUUUCGUUCCACUGACACCAAAUUUGCUCAGGCCAAUCUACACCCCAUGGCCAUUCAAAGUUGUAAAAAUCAUGACGCUGCACCCCACGGUUUACGUUCUAGGGGGCGCCAAAGAGGACCCAAAUAUCCACAUUUUUAAAAGUCUUAUAACUUUAUUUUUGUCCUCACUGGCCUCCAAGUUUUCUAGGAUGAUGCAAUGUUCAGUCAUCAACACAUUUGUGAAGGAAUUUUUUCUCCCCAAAAGAGCGCCCUCCCACGGCAGGAGAAAAAGUCAAGUUUUUCCUGCCCAUCGCUCAAUGGCUCAAACGCAUCGCUCUCUCGGCAAAACCGAAAGGAGGAGCACCUUGCCAUUUGGAUAUAUACUAGCUGUCUUUGUGCCCUCACUCAUGGUCCAGACUUUUUUCAAAAAGGACAUGGAGUUUGUCUGCAGCGAGCGUUUUGGUAGAAACUGCGCCUCCCAUUCAUUAUAAUGGUAAAUGACCACAGACAAGUGCGCACACCAUCUUUGGACCUUGAGUGUGACGCGAUCGGGAGGGGUAGGCGGUCGCGCUGGGGGCGGCGCGACACGGCUCGGGCCCACCAGUGCCCCAACGGGGCCCUAGUUAUUUUUCCUCCCCUUUGAACUGGAAAAUGGCCCACUUCCCACUGGCGAAAACUCAUGAAAUUUGGCAGGACGACCGGGCCUGGUGAAAAAUUUGAUAUUCCGAAGUCGCCCAAACAAGAAAAUGCAAAAUGGCUCCAUAGCGCCCCCUAAGGUAAAAAAUUCACCUGACGCCUGUACGCUUUGUCAAAAUGACACAAAAAUUGACACACACAUGUAUCUCAAUAAGAUCUACAAAAAAGUCAGUGCGGGCGUAUCUGUCAAAUGUACGGUUAAAGGGUUAUUGCGCAUUUUUUGCCGAUCCGCACACAUUGGAAUUUCGCUAACUCCUCCGAAGGCUUUCGUUCCACCGGCACCACAUUUGCUCAGGCCAAUCUACACCCCAUGGCCAUUAAAAGUUAUUCAAAUCAUGACGCUGCACCCCACGGUUUAGGUUCUAGGGGGCGCCAAAGAUAACCCUAAAAUCCACAAAUUUCAAAGUCUUAUAACUUUUUAUUUUUGCCCUCACUGGCCUCCAAGUUUUCUAGGAUGAUGCAAUGUCCAGCCAUCAACACAUUUGUGAAGGAAUUUUUACUCCCCAAAAGAGCGCCCCCCCAUGGCAGGAGAAAAAAGUCCAUUUUUUCUUGUCCCAUAAGGUGAAAAAUUACACUAUUGACUGUCACGCCUGUACGCUUUGUCAAAAUGACACAAAAAUUGACACACACAUGUAUCUCAAUAAGAUCUACAAAAAAGUCAGUGCUAGCGUAUCUGUCAAAUGUACGGUUAAAGGGUUAUUGCGCAUUUUUUGCCGAUCCGCACACAUUGGAAUUUCGCUAACUCCUCCGAAGGCUUUCGUUCCACCGGCACCACAUUUGCUCAGGCCAAUCUACACCCCAUGGCCAUUAAAAGUUAUUCAAAUCAUGACGCUGCACCCCACGGUUUAGGUUCUAGGGGGCGCCAAAGAUAACCCUAAAAUCCACAUAUUUAAAAGUCUUAUAACUUUUUAUUUUUGUCCUCUCUGGCCUCCAAGUUUUCUAGGAUGAUGCAAUGUCCAGCCAUCAACACAUUUGUGAAGGAAUUUUUACUCGCCAAAAGAGCGCCCCCCCAUGGCAGGAGAAAAAAGUCCAUUUUUUCUUGUCCCAUAAGGUGAAAAUACACAUUGUUGACUGUCAUACCUGUAUGCUUUGUCAUAUUGACACAAAAUUUGACACACACAUGUAUCUCAAUAAGAUCUACGAAAAAGUCAAUGCGCGCGUAUCUGUAAAAUGUACGGUUAAAGGGCUAUUUUGCAUUUUUUGCCGAUUAGCACACAUUGGAAUGUGGCUAACUCCUCCUAAGGCUUUCGUCCCACUGACACCAAAUUUGCUCAGGCCAAUCUACACCCCAUGGCCAUUCAAAGUUUUAAAAAUCAUGAUGCUGCACCCCACGGUUUACGUUCUAGGGGGCGCCAAAGAUGACCCAAAUAUCCACAUUCUUAAAAGAAUCCACAUCGCCCCCCCCCCCCCCCAUCCCCCAUCCCCCAUCCCCCAUGGCAGGAGAAACAGUCAAGUUUUUCCUGCCCAUCACUCAAUGGCUCAAUCGCAUCGCUCUCCCGGCAACACCGUAACGAGGAGCAACUUGCCGUUUGGAUAUAUCCUAGCUGUGUUUGUGCCCUCACUCAUGGUCCAGACUUUUUUCAAAUAGGACAUGUAGUUUGUCUGCAGCGAGUGUUUUGGUAGAAACUGCGCCUCCCAUUCAUUAUAAUGGGAAAUGACCACAGACAAGUGCGCACACCAUCUUUGGACCUUGAGUGUGACGCGAUCGGGAGGGGGAGGCGGUCGCACUGGGGGCGGCGCAACGUGGCUCGGGCCCGCCAGUGCCCCAACGGGGCCCUAGUUAGGGCCCGAGCGUAGCUGCUAAGCAGCUGCGAGAGCCCUAUUAUUCCCCAAGUGGUUUUUCUUUGUUUCUUUCUUUCUUCUUUUUCCUCCCCUUUGAACUGGAAAAUGGCCCACUUCCCACUGGCGAAAACUCAUGAAAUUUGGCAGGAUGACCGGGCCUGGUGAAAAAUUUGAUAUUCCGAAGUCGCCCAAACAAGAAAAUGCAAAAUGGCUCCAUAGCGCCCCCUAAGGUGAAAAUUCACACUAUUGACUGUCACGCCUUUAUGCUUUGUCAAAAUGACACAAAAAUUGACACACAUAUGUAUCUCAAUAAGAUCUACAAAAAAGUCAGUGCGGGCGUAUCUGUCAAAUGUACGGUUAAAGGGUUAUUCCGCAUUUUUUGCCGAUCCGCACACAUUGGAAUUUCGCUAACUCCUCCGAAGGCUUUCUUUCCACCGGCACCACAUUUGCUCAGGCCAAUCUACACCCCAUGGCCAUUAAAAAUUAUUCAAAUCAUGACGCUGCACCCCACGGUUUAGGUUCUAGGGGGCGCCAAAGAUAACCCUAAAAUCCACAAAUUUCAAAGUCUUAUAACUUUUUAUUUUUGCCCUCACUGGCCUCCAAGUUUUCUAGGAUGAUGCAAUGUCCAGCCAUCAACACAUUUGUGAAGGAAUUUUUACUCCCCAAAAGAGCGCCCCCCCAUGGCCGGAGAAAAAAGUCCAUUUUUUCUUGUCCCUUAAGGUGAAAAUACACAUUGUUGAGUGUCACGCCUGUACGCUUUGUCAUAUUGACACAAAAUUUGACACACACAUGUAUCUCAAUAAGAUCUACGAAAAAGUCAAUGCGUGCGUAUCUGUCAAAUGUACGGUUAAAGGGUUAUUCCGCAUUUUUUGCUGAUCCGCACACAUUGGAAUUUCGCUAACUCCUCCGAAGGCUUUCGUUCCACCGGCACCACAUUUGCUCAGGCCAAUCUACACCCCAUGGCCAUUAAAAGUUAUUCAAAUCAUGACGCUGCACCCCACGGUUUAGGUUCUAGGGGGCGCCAAAGAUAACACUAAAAUCCACAUAUUUAAAAGUCUUAUAACUUUUUAUUUUUUGCCCUCACUGGCCUCCAAGUUUUCUAGGAUGAUGCAAUGUCCAGCCAUCAACACAUUUGUUGAGGAAUUUUUACUCCCCAAAAGAGCGCCCCCCAUGGCAGGAGAAAAAAGUCCAUUUUUUCUUGUCCCCUAAGGUGAAAAUACACAUUGUUGAGUGUCACGCCUGUACGCUUUGUCAAAAUGACACAAAAAUUGACACACACAUGUAUCUCAAUAAGAUCUACAAAAAAGUCAAAGCGCGCGUAUCUGUCAAAUGUACGGUUAAAGGGUUAUUCCGCAUUUUUUGCCGAUCCGCACACAUUGGAAUUUCGCUAACUCCUCCGAAGGCUUUCGUUCCACCGGCACCACAUUUGCUCAGGCCAAUCUACACCCCGUGGCCAUUAAAAGUUAUUCAAAUCAUGACGCUGCACCCCACGGUUUAGGUUCUAGGGGGAGCCAAAGAUAACCGUAAAAUCCACAUAUUUAAAAGUCUUAUAACUUUUUAUUUUUGUCCCCACUGGCCUCCAAGUUUUCUAGGAUGAUGCAAUGUCCAGCCAUCAACACAUUUGUGAAGGAAUUUUUACUCCCCAAAAGAGCGCCCCCCCAUGGCAGGAGAAAAAAGUCAAUUUUUUCUUGUCCACUAAGGUGAAAAUACACAUUGUUGAGUGCUACGCCUGUAUGUUUUGUCGUAUUGACACAAAAUUUUACAUACACGUGUAUUUACAUAAGAUCUUCGAAAAAGUCAAUGGCCACGUAUCUGUAAAAUGUACGGUUAAAGGGUUAUUUCGCAUUUUUUGCAGAUUCGCACACAUUGGAAUUUCGCUAAUUCCUCCGAAGGCUUUCGUUCCACCGGCACCACAUUUGCUCAGGCCAAUCUACACCCCAUGGCCAUUAAAAGUUAUUCAAAUCAUGACGCUGCACCCCACGGUUUAGGUUCUAGGGGGCGCCAAAUAUAACCCUAAAAUCCACAUAUUUAAAAGUCUUAUAACUUUUUAUUUUUGUCCUCACUGGCCUCCAUGUUUUCUAGGAUGAUGCAAUGUCCAGCCAUCAACACAUUUGUGAAGGAGUUUUUUCUCUUUAAAAGAGCGCCCCCCCAUGGCAGGAGAAUAAAGUCAAGUUUUUCCUGUUCAUCAUUCAAUGGCUCAAACGCACUGCUCUCUCGGCAAAAGCGAAAGGAGGAGCAACUUGCCAUUUGGAUAUAUCUUAGCUGUGUUUGUGCCCUCACUCAUGGUCCAGACUUUUUUCAAAUAGGACAUGGAGUUUUUCUGCAGCGAGCGUUUUGGUAGAAACUGCGCCUCCCGUUCAUUAUAAUGGUAAAUGACCACAAACAAGUGCGCACACCAUCUUUGGACCUUGAGUGUGACGCGAUCGGGUGAGGGAGGCGGUCGCGCUGGGGGCGGCGUGACACGGCUCGGGCCCGCCAGUGCCCCAACGGGGCCCUAGUUAUUAUUUUUCCUCCCCUUUGAACUGGAAAAUGGCCCACUUCCCACUGGCGAAAACUCAUGAAAUUUGGCAGGACGACCGGGCCUGGUGAAAAAUUUGAUAUUCCGAAGUCGCCCAAACAAGAAAAUGCAAAAUGGCUCCAUAGCGCCCCCUAAGGUGAAAAUUCACACUAUUGACUGUCACGCCUGUACGCUUUGUCAAAAUGACACAAAAAUUGACACACACAUGUAUCUCAAUAAGAUCUACAAAAAAGUCAGUGCGGGCGUAUCUGUCAAAUGUACGGUUAAAGGGUUAUUUCGCAUUUUUUGCCGAUCCGCACACAUUGGAAUUUCGCUAACUCCUCCGAAGGCUUUCGUUCCACCGGCACCACAUUUGCUCAGGCCAAUCUACACCCCAUGGCCAUUAAAAGUUAUUCAAAUCAUGACGCUGCACCCCACGGUUUAGGUUCUAGGGGGCGCCAAAGAUAACCCUAAGAUCCACAUAUUUAAAAGUCUUAUAACUUUUUAUUUUUGCCCUCACUGGCCUCCAAGUUUUCUAGGAUGAUGCAAUGUCCAGCCAUCAACACAUUUGUGAAGGAAUUUUUACUCCCCAAAAGAGCGCCCCCCAUGGCAGGAGAAAAAAGUCCAUUUUUUCUUGUCCCCUAAGGUGAAAAUACACAUUGUUGAGUGUAACACCUGUACGCUUUGGCAAAAUGACACCAAAAUUGAGACACACAUGUAUCUCAAUAAGAUCUACAAAAAAGUCAAUGCGCACGUAUCUGUCAAAUGUACGGUUAAAGGGUUAUUCCGCAUUUUUUGCCGAUCCGCACACAUUGGAAUUUCGCUAACUCCUCCGAAGGCUUUCGUUCCACCGGCACCACAUUUUCUCAGGCCAAUCUACACCCCAUGGCCAUAAAAAGUUAUUCAAAUCAUGACGCUGCACCCCACGGUUUAGGUUCUAGGGGGCGCCAAAGAUAACCGUAAAAUCCACAUAUUUAAAAGUCUUAUAACUUUUUAUUUUUGUCCCCACUGGCCUCCAAGUUUUCUAGGAUGAUGCAAUGUCCAGCCAUCAACACAUUUGUGAAGGAAUUUUUACUCGCCAAAAGAGCGCCCCCCCAUGGCAGGAGAAAAAAGUCCAUUUUUUCUUGUCCCCUAAGGUGAAAAUACACAUUGUUGAGUGUAACACCUGUACGCUUUGGCAAAAUGACACAAAAAUUGACACACACAUGUAUCUCAAUAAGAUCUACGAAAAAGACAGUGCGCGCGUAUCUGUCAAAUGUACGGUUAAAGGGUUAUUCCGCACUUUUUGCCGAUCCGCACACAUUGGAAUUUCGCUAACUCCUCCGAAGGCUUUCGUUCCACCGGCACCACAUUUGCUCAGGCCAAUCUACACCCCAUGGCCAUUAAAAGUUAUUCAAAUCAUGACGCUGCACCCCACGGUUUAGGUUCUAGGGGGCGCCAAAGAUAACCCUAAAAUCCACAAAUUUCAAAGUCUUAUAACUUUUUAUUUUUGUCCCCACUGGCCUCCAAGUUUUCUAGGAUGAUGCAAUGUCCAGCCAUCAACACAUUUGUGAAGGAAUUUUUACUCGCCAAAAGAGCGCCCCCCCCAUGGCAGGAGAAAAAAGUCCAUUUUUUCUUGUCCCCUAAGGUGAAAAUACACAUUGUUGAGUGUAACACCUGUACGCUUUGGCAAAAUGACACAAAAAUUGACACACACAUGUAUCUCAAUAAGAUCUACGAAAAAGACAGUGCGCGCGUAUCUGUCAAAUGUACGGUUAAAGGGUUAUUCCGCACUUUUUGCCGAUCCGCACACAUUGGAAUUUCGCUAACUCCUCCGAAGGCUUUCGUUCCACCGGCACCACAUUUGCUCAGGCCAAUCUACACCCCAUGGCCAUUAAAAGUUAUUCAAAUCAUGACGCUGCACCCCACGGUUUAGGUUCUAGGGGGCGCCAAAGAUAACCCUAAAAUCCACAAAUUUCAAAGUCUUAUAACUUUUUAUUUUUGCCCUCACUGGCCUCCAAGUUUUCUAGGAUGAUGCAAUGUCCAGCCAUCAACACAUUUGUGAAGGAAUUUUUACUCCCCAAAAGAGCGCCCCCCCAUGGCAGGAGAAAAAAGUCCAUUUUUUCUUGUCCCAUAAGGUGAAAAAUUACACUAUUGACUGUCACGCCUGUACGCUUUGUCAAAAUUACACAAAAAUUGACACACACAUGUAUCUCAAUAAGAUCUACAAAAAAGUCAGUGCUAGCGUAUCUGUCAAAUGUACGGUUAAAGGGUUAUUGCGCAUUUUUUGCCGAUCCGCACACAUUGGAAUUUCGCUAACUCCUCCGAAGGCUUUCGUUCCACCGGCACCACAUUUGCUCAGGCCAAUCUACACCCCAUGGCCAUUAAAAGUUAUUCAAAUCAUGACGCUGCACCCCACGGUUUAGGUUCUAGGGGGCGCCAAAGAUAACCCUAAAAUCCACAUAUUUAAAAGUCUUAUAACUUUUUAUUUUUGUCCUCUCUGGCCUCCAAGUUUUCUAGGAUGAUGCAAUGUCCAGCCAUCAACACAUUUGUGAAGGAAUUUUUACUCGCCAAAAGAGCGCCCCCCCAUGGCAGGAGAAAAAAGUCCAUUUUUUCUUGUCCCAUAAGGUGAAAAUACACAUUGUUGACUGUCAUACCUGUAUGCUUUGUCAUAUUGACACAAAAUUUGACACACACAUGUAUCUCAAUAAGAUCUACGAAAAAGUCAAUGCGCGCGUAUCUGUAAAAUGUACGGUUAAAGGGCUAUUUUGCAUUUUUUGCCGAUUAGCACACAUUGGAAUGUGGCUAACUCCUCCUAAGGCUUUCGUCCCACUGACACCAAAUUUGCUCAGGCCAAUCUACACCCCAUGGCCAUUCAAAGUUUUAAAAAUCAUGAUGCUGCACCCCACGGUUUACGUUCUAGGGGGCGCCAAAGAUGACCCAAAUAUCCACAUUCUUAAAAGAAUCCACAUCGCCCCCCCCCCCCCCAUCCCCCAUCCCCCAUCCCCCAUGGCAGGAGAAACAGUCAAGUUUUUCCUGCCCAUCACUCAAUGGCUCAAUCGCAUCGCUCUCCUGGCAACACCGUAACGAGGAGCAACUUGCCGUUUGGAUAUAUCCUAGCUGUGUUUGUGCCCUCACUCAUGGUCCAGACUUUUUUCAAAUAGGACAUGUAGUUUGUCUGCAGCGAGUGUUUUGGUAGAAACUGCGCCUCCCAUUCAUUAUAAUGGGAAAUGACCACAGACAAGUGCGCACACCAUCUUUGGACCUUGAGUGUGACGCGAUCGGGAGGGGGAGGCGGUCGCACUGGGGGCGGCGCAACGCGGCUCGGGCCCGCCAGUGCCCCAACGGGGCCCUAGUUAGGGCCCGAGCGUAGCUGCUAAGCAGCUGCGAGAGCCCUAUUAUUCCCCAAGUGGUUUUUCUUUGUUUCUUUCUUUCUUCUUUUUCCUCCCCUUUGAACUGGAAAAUGGCCCACUUCCCACUGGCGAAAACUCAUGAAAUUUGGCAGGAUGACCGGGCCUGGUGAAAAAUUUGAUAUUCCGAAGUCGCCCAAACAAGAAAAUGCAAAAUGGCUCCAUAGCGCCCCCUAAGGUGAAAAUUCACACUAUUGACUGUCACGCCUUUAUGCUUUGUCAAAAUGACACAAAAAUUGACACACAUAUGUAUCUCAAUAAGAUCUACAAAAAAGUCAGUGCGGGCGUAUCUGUCAAAUGUACGGUUAAAGGGUUAUUCCGCAUUUUUUGCCGAUCCGCACACAUUGGAAUUUCGCUAACUCCUCCGAAGGCUUUCUUUCCACCGGCACCACAUUUGCUCAGGCCAAUCUACACCCCAUGGCCAUUAAAAAUUAUUCAAAUCAUGACGCUGCACCCCACGGUUUAGGUUCUAGGGGGCGCCAAAGAUAACCCUAAAAUCCACAAAUUUCAAAGUCUUAUAACUUUUUAUUUUUGCCCUCACUGGCCUCCAAGUUUUCUAGGAUGAUGCAAUGUCCAGCCAUCAACACAUUUGUGAAGGAAUUUUUACUCCCCAAAAGAGCGCCCCCCCAUGGCCGGAGAAAAAAGUCCAUUUUUUCUUGUCCCUUAAGGUGAAAAUACACAUUGUUGAGUGUCACGCCUGUACGCUUUGUCAUAUUGACACAAAAUUUGACACACACAUGUAUCUCAAUAAGAUCUACGAAAAAGUCAAUGCGUGCGUAUCUGUCAAAUGUACGGUUAAAGGGUUAUUCCGCAUUUUUUGCUGAUCCGCACACAUUGGAAUUUCGCUAACUCCUCCGAAGGCUUUCGUUCCACCGGCACCACAUUUGCUCAGGCCAAUCUACACCCCAUGGCCAUUAAAAGUUAUUCAAAUCAUGACGCUGCACCCCACGGUUUAGGUUCUAGGGGGCGCCAAAGAUAACACUAAAAUCCACAUAUUUAAAAGUCUUAUAACUUUUUAUUUUUUGCCCUCACUGGCCUCCAAGUUUUCUAGGAUGAUGCAAUGUCCAGCCAUCAACACAUUUGUUGAGGAAUUUUUACUCCCCAAAAGAGCGCCCCCCCAUGGCAGGAGAAAAAAGUCCAUUUUUUCUUGUCCCCUAAGGUGAAAAUACACAUUGUUGAGUGUCACGCCUGUACGCUUUGUCAAAAUGACACAAAAAUUGACACACACAUGUAUCUCAAUAAGAUCUACAAAAAAGUCAAAGCGCGCGUAUCUGUCAAAUGUACGGUUAAAGGGUUAUUCCGCAUUUUUUGCCGAUCCGCACACAUUGGAAUUUCGCUAACUCCUCCGAAGGCUUUCGUUCCACCGGCACCACAUUUGCUCAGGCCAAUCUACACCCCAUGGCCAUUAAAAGUUAUUCAAAUCAUGACGCUGCACCCCACGGUUUACGUUCUAGGGGGCGCCAAAGAUAACCCAAAAAUCCACAUUUUUAAAAGUCUUAUAACUUUUUAUUUUUGUCCUCACUGGCCUCCAAGUUUUCUAGGAUGAUGCAAUGUCCAGCCAUCAACACAUUUGUGAAGGAAUUUUUACUCCCUAAAAGAGCGCCCCCCCAUGGCAGGAGAAAAAAGUCCAUUUUUUCUUGUCCCCUAAGGUGAAAAUACACAUUGUUGACUGUCACGCCUGAACGCUUUGGCAAAAUGACACAAAAAUUGACAAUCAUGUGUAUCUCAAUUAGAUCUACGAAAAAGUCAAAGAGCGCGUAUCUGUAUAAUGUACGGUAAAAGGGCUAUAUUGCAUUUUUUGCCGAUUCGCACACAUUGGAAUUUCGCUAACUCCUCCUAAGGCUUUCGUCCCACUGACACCAAAUUUGCUCAGGCCAAUCUACACUCCAUGGCCAUUCAAAGUUGUAAAAAUCAUGACGCUGCACCCCACGGUUUACGUUUUAGGGGGCGCCAAAGAUGACCCAAAUAUACAUUACAGUAGACAAAGUAGUUUUGCCCACUGAGUGGCGCCAAAGGGACUUGUCUGUGGAGUCUGUGAGUCACUAUUGGCCGUUUUUGACUACUUUAGAUUUUACCUUUAUAUUUCCUCUUACAAAAUUUUUACCUUGCCUUGCCUGGUAUCAUUUUUUUCAGCACAACCUCACCUGUGUCAAUUUACAGUUAUUUUAUCAUUUUGACAUACUAUAUUUACACAUUGGACCCAAAUUCACACACAAAACAUAAAAUCCGAGUGGAAAAAAGUAACGUUUUUACUGUGAAAACCACAAAUAUGUGUGAUGAACUGUUUUUAAAACUUAAACUUCAAAUAAAAAUUGUAAACUUCAAAACAUAUGCAAAUUUUUAACAAAGAACAUAGUAAUUUACCUCUAUUUACAUCAAAAUGCAGGCAAUGGCCCAGGUGUUCUUUGUAAAAUUAUUUACAAAACACUGUAUAGUCUCACAAAUGUCACUUUUUAUUUAUGCCACUACAAAAAAACAUGAUGUAAAUGAUGCAUGAUGUAAAACAUGAUGUAAAAAACUUGUGUAGAUCCUCCUCUAUGUUAGUCCAUGUGUAAUUUUUCCAUAAUUCUUUGUUUUUUGCAGCAUUUUUGUUAGUGUAACUGCAGAUUGUGCUGACAGUGUCUAUGGCAAAAAAAAAAAAAAACAACUGAAAAUGCCUCAACAUGAACCCCUGGUGGUCUCUGAGGGUGAAACCUGCUAACUGCUGCAGCUCUGUCAGCUUCAGUCUCCCAUGCAGAGCUCGGAGCGCAUGUGUGGCUCUGCACCCUUAGCAGCGUUGCUAACUCCUCAGUAAGGAAAGCCUGCUUCAUGUCAGAGUCUCUAAACUCCAGAAGAAGUCGAUAAAAGUCACUUUCUUUCUAAAAAAAAGUCGUUAGGGGGUCUGAAAAGUCAUUGAAUCUAACAACAAAGUCGCUAGGUUUGCAACUACGUGUCCCAGACUGCAUCCCUGCUGAGAGUCCCUCCCUCCCUUCUCAUAUUGCAGGAAGAACGUAAGCGCCCGCCCCUUGUCAAUCAGUCACCAUAUAAUUUUGGAUUGGUUGUUGUGGUGAAGUUUUCCACCAAUAGGAGAGAUGUUGUGGUGUGUUUUUUUUUUCCUUUGGCAAGCCUUUUCCGCUGUAAGACCUGUCGCUAAUGUCUGCAUGCUAUGUUUUCCUGUCUCAUACAGCGCGAUCGAGCGCCGAACGUGAUCAAAAUAAGCUGAAAACAAGUAUCGCGGACAUAAUUUAUCAUAACUGGUUUUAUUUGGCCUAUCAACACAAUUUAAAAACUGGUAUAUAGGUUGAGGUCCUCACUUUUGAGAUAAGUUGAAACGGAGAGUCAAUGAGGCUCCGUCUUGCAGCUACAUCCGGUUAAAUAUGUCGUGUGACUUGAAGGCACACACACACACACACACACACACACACACACACACAGACACACACACACACACACGCACACACACAAACCCAGAGUCUGGUUUUUAGCACCUGCAAAAACAUGCUAUUUACAUAUUUGACAAGAAUGCAGAGGCUCCUUUUGCCCCUGAAAAAAAUCAGAUUUCAAACACAACUUGACUGGUCAUUUCUCCAAAAGACAACCAUGAAGCUCCAUCCAAACCUGAAGCAGGCAGUUGGUGCAUGUGUACAGUAACCUGAGGGGAGUGAGGUGACUGCUUCUGAGGAGAACAUGAGCAGUGAAGAUUCACCUUAGAGCUAGAACAGAGACGUGCACAUGAUUAUACAGGGGCAGGGGCUCAAGUUUUUUCCAGUUGUUUAUACAAUAUGGAAAUUAAUGUGAAAUUAAAAAACAAAGUAUUAAUAGAAAGGUAAUGACUGUCCUGUGUAGGUGACAGUGAUAUCCAAUAGGCUAGGCACUCACGAGGCUGGCUGUGGCAAGUGUAAGUGAAAGCAACACGCACUGGCAGGAAGAACAGCAAACGCCGAUGAAGGAAAAGGGUCUUUGCAGUGAUGGGCGUUACCAGAGAGGGCGAUGGCCAGAGGACGCGAAUGGGACGGGGAGGCAGCACGUUGGGGGGGGGGACGCGACACAGCUCGGGCCCGCCAGUGCCCCAACGGGGUCCUAGUUAGGGCCCGAGCGUAGCUGCUAAGCAGCUGCGAGAGCCCUAUUAUUCCCCAAGUGGUUUUUCUUUGUUUCUUUCUUUCUUCUUUUUCCUCCCCUUUGAACUGGAAAAUGGCCCACUUCCCACUGGCGAAAACUCAUGAAAUUUGGCAGGAUGACCGGGCCUGGUGAAAAAUUUGAUAUUCCGAAGUCGCCCAAACAAGAAAAUGCAAAAUGGCUCCAUAGCGCCCCCUAAGGUGAAAAUUCACACUAUUGACUGUCACGCCUUUACGCUUUGUCAAAAUGACACAAAAAUUGACACACAUAUGUAUCUCAAUAAGAUCUACAAAAAAGUCAGUGCGGGCGUAUCUGUCAAAUGUACGGUUAAAGGGUUAUUCCGCAUUUUUUGCCGAUCCGCACACAUUGGAAUUUCGCUAACUCCUCCGAAGGCUUUCUUUCCACCGGCACCACAUUUGCUCAGGCCAAUCUACACCCCAUGGCCAUUAAAAGUUAUUCAAAUCAUGACGCUGCACCCCACGGUUUAGGUUCUAGGGGGCGCCAAAGAUAACCCUAAAAUCCACAUAUUUAAAAGUCUUAUAACUUUUUAUUUUUGCCCUCACUGGCCUCCAAGUUUUCUAGGAUGAUGCAAUGUCCAGCCAUCAACACAUUUGUGAAGGAAUUUUUACUCCCCAAAAGAGCGCCCCCCCAUGGCCGGAGAAAAAAGUCCAUUUUUUCUUGUUAUUAUUAUUUUUCCUCCGCUUUAAACUGGAAAAUGGCCGACUUCCCACUGGCGAAAACUCAUGAAAUUUGGCAGGACGACCGGGCCUGGUGAAAAAUUCGAUAUUCUGAAGUCGCCCAAACAAUAAAAUGCAAAAUGGCUCCAUAGCGCCCCCUAAGGCGAAAAUUCACACUAUUGACUGUCACGCCUGUACGCUUUGUCAUAUUGACACAAAAAUUGACACACACGUGUAUCUCAAUACGUUCUACGAAAAAGUCAGCGCGGGCGCAUCUGUGAAAUGUAAUGUUAGAGGGUUAUUUCGCAUUUUUUGCCGAUCUGCACACAUUGGAAUUUCGCUAACUCCUCCGAAGGCAUUCGUUCCACCAGCACCACAUUUGCUCAGGCCAAUCUACACCCCAUGGCCAUUAAAAGUUGUACAAAUCAUGACGCUGCACCCCACAGUUUACGUUCUAGGGGGCGCCAAAGAUAACCCAAAAAUCCACAGUCUUAAAAGUCUUAUAACUUUUUAUUUUUGUCCUCACUGGCCUCCAAGUUCUCUAGGAUGAUGCAAUGUCCAGCCAUCAACACAUUUGUGAAGGAAUUUUUACUCCCCAAAAGAGCGCCCCCACAUGGCAGGAGAAAAAAGUCCAUUUUUUCUUGUCCCCUAAGGUGAAAAUACACAUUGUUGAGUGUCACGCCUAUACGCUUUGUCAUAUUGACCCAAAAUUUGACAAUCACGUGUAUCUCAAUAAGAUCUACGAAAAAGUCAAUGGGCACGUAUCUGUAAAAUGUAUGGUUAAAGGGCUAUUUCGCAUUUUUUGCAGAUUCGCACACAUUGGAAUGUGGCUAACUCCUCCUAAGGCUUUCUUCCCACCGACACCAAAUUUGCUCAAGCCGAUCUACAUCCCAUGGCCAUUCAAAGUUGUAAAAAUCAUGCCGCUGCACCCCAUGGUUUACGUUCUAGGGGGCGCCAAAGAUGACCCAAAUAUCCACAUUCUUAAAAGUCGUUUUGGCCACUGCAGGAGUACAGAGUACUGCAGGAUACACACACACAGACACACACAAACACAGACACACACACACACACACACACACACACACACACACACACACACACACACACACACACACACACACUCAGAGUCUGUUUUUUAGCACCUGCAAAAACAUGCUAUUUACAUAUUUGACAACAAUGCAGAGGCUCCUUUUGCCCCUGAAAAAAAUCAAAUUUCAAACACAACUUGACUGGUCAUUUCUCCAAAAGACAACCAUGAAGCUCCAUCCAAACCUGAAGCAGGCAGUUGGUGCAUGUGUACAGUUACCUGAGGGGAGUGAGGUGAGUGCUUCUGAGGAGAACAUGAGCAGUGAAGAUUCACCUUGGAGCGAGAACAGGGACGUGCACAUGAUUAUACAGGGGCAGGGGCUCAAGUUUUUUCCAGUCGUUUAUACAAUAUGGAAAUUAAUGUGAAAUUAAAAAACAAAGUAUUAAUAGAAAGGUAAUGACUGUCCUGUGUAGGUGACAGUGAUAUCCAAUAGGCUAGGCACUCACGAGGCUGGCUGUGGCAAGUGUAAGUGAAAGCAACACGCACUGGCAGGAAGAACAGCAAACGCCGAUGAAGGAAAAGGGUCUUUGCAGUGAUGGGCGUUACCAGAGAGGACGAUGGCCAGAGGACGCGAAUGGGACGGGGAGGCAGCGCGUUGGGGGGGGGGGGGCGCGACACAGCUCGGGCCCGCCAGUGCCCCAACGGGGCCCUAGUUUGUUAUUAUUAUUAUUAUUUUUCCUCCCCUUUGAACUGGAAAAUGGCCCACUUCCCACUGGCGAAAACUCAUGAAAUUUGGCAGGACGACCGGGCCUGGUGAAAAAUUUGAGAUUCCGAAGUCGCCCAAACAAGAAAAUGCAAAAUGGCUCCAUAGCGCCCCCUAAGGUGAAAAUUCACACUAUUGACUGUCACGCCGGUACGCUUUGUCAAAAUGACACAAAAAUUGACACACACAUGUAUCUCAAUAAGAUCUACAAAAAAGUCAGUGCGGGCGUAUCUGUCAAAUGUACGGUUAAAGGGUUAUUUCGCAUUUUUUGCCGAUCCGCACACAUUGGAAUUUCGCUAACUCCUCCGAAGGCUUUCGUUCCACCGGCACCACAUUUGCUCAGGCCAAUCUACACCCCAUGGCCAUUAAAAGUUAUUCAAAUCAUGACGCUGCACCCCACGGUUUAGGUUCUAGGGGGCGCCAAAGAUAACCCUAAGAUCCACAUAUUUAAAAGUCUUAUAACUUUUUAUUUUUGCCCUCACUGGCCUCCAAGUUUUCUAGGAUGAUGCAAUGUCCAGCCAUCAACACAUUUGUGAAGGAAUUUUUACUCCCCAAAAGAGCGCCCCCCCAUGGCAGGAGAAAAAAGUCCAUUUUUUCUUGUCCCCUAAGGUGAAAAUACACAUUGUUGAGUGUAACACCUGUACGCUUUGGCAAAAUGACACAAAAAUUGACACACACAUGUAUCUCAAUAAGAUCUACGAAAAAGUCAAUGCGCGCGUAUCUGUCAAAUGUACGGUUAAAGGGUUAUUCCGCAUUUUUUGCCGAUCCGCACACAUUGGAAUUUCGCUAACUCCUCCGAAGGCUUUCGUUCCACCGGCACCACAUUUGCUCAGGCCAAUCUACACCCCGUGGCCAUUAAAAGUUAUUCAAAUCAUGACGCUGCACCCCACGGUUUAGGUUCUAGGGGGAGCCAAAGAUAACCGUAAAAUCCACAUAUUUAAAAGUCUUAUAACUUUUUAUUUUUGUCCCCACUGGCCUCCAAGUUUUCUAGGAUGAUGCAAUGUCCAGCCAUCAACACAUUUGUGAAGGAAUUUUUACUCCCCAAAAGAGCGCCCCCCCAUGGCAGGAGAAAAAAGUCAAUUUUUUCUUGUCCACUAAGGUGAAAAUACACAUUGUUGAGUGCUACGCCUGUAUGUUUUGUCGUAUUGACACAAAAUUUUACAUACACGUGUAUUUACAUAAGAUCUUCGAAAAAGGCAAUGGCCACGUAUCUGUAAAAUGUACGGUUAAAGGGUUAUUUCGCAUUUUUUGCAGAUUCGCACACAUUGGAAUUUCGCUAAUUCCUCCGAAGGCUUUCGUUCCACCGGCACCACAUUUGCUCAGGCCAAUCUACACCCCAUGGCCAUUAAAAGUUAUUCAAAUCAUGACGCUGCACCCCACGGUUUAGGUUCUAGGGGGCGCCAAAUAUAACCCUAAAAUCCACAUAUUUAAAAGUCUUAUAACUUUUUAUUUUUGUCCUCACUGGCCUCCAUGUUUUCUAGGAUGAUGCAAUGUCCAGCCAUCAACACAUUUGUGAAGGAGUUUUUUCUCUUUAAAAGAGCGCCCCCCAUGGCAGGAGAAUAAAGUCAAGUUUUUCCUGUUCAUCAUUCAAUGGCUCAAACGCACUGCUCUCUCGGCAAAAGCGAAAGGAGGAGCAACUUGCCAUUUGGAUAUAUCUUAGCUGUGUUUGUGCCCUCACUCAUGGUCCAGACUUUUUUCAAAUAGGACAUGGAGUUUUUCUGCAGCGAGCGUUUUGGUAGAAACUGCGCCUCCCGUUCAUUAUAAUGGUAAAUGACCACAAACAAGUGCGCACACCAUCUUUGGACCUUGAGUGUGACGCGAUCGGGUGAGGGAGGCGGUCGCGCUGGGGGCGGCGUGACACGGCUCGGGCCCGCCAGUGCCCCAACGGGGCCCUAGUUAUUAUUUUUCCUCCCCUUUGAACUGGAAAAUGGCCCACUUCCCACUGGCGAAAACUCAUGAAAUUUGGCAGGACGACCGGGCCUGGUGAAAAAUUUGAUAUUCCGAAGUCGCCCAAACAAGAAAAUGCAAAAUGGCUCCAUAGCGCCCCCUAAGGUGAAAAUUCACACUAUUGACUGUCACGCCUGUACGCUUUGUCAAAAUGACACAAAAAUUGACACACACAUGUAUCUCAAUAAGAUCUACAAAAAAGUCAGUGCGGGCGUAUCUGUCAAAUGUACGGUUAAAGGGUUAUUUCGCAUUUUUUGCCGAUCCGCACACAUUGGAAUUUCGCUAACUCCUCCGAAGGCUUUCGUUCCACCGGCACCACAUUUGCUCAGGCCAAUCUACACCCCAUGGCCAUUAAAAGUUAUUCAAAUCAUGACGCUGCACCCCACGGUUUAGGUUCUAGGGGGCGCCAAAGAUAACCCUAAGAUCCACAUAUUUAAAAGUCUUAUAACUUUUUAUUUUUGCCCUCACUGGCCUCCAAGUUUUCUAGGAUGAUGCAAUGUCCAGCCAUCAACACAUUUGUGAAGGAAUUUUUACUCCCCAAAAGAGCGCCCCCCCAUGGCAGGAGAAAAAAGUCCAUUUUUUCUUGUCCCCUAAGGUGAAAAUACACAUUGUUGAGUGUAACACCUGUACGCUUUGGCAAAAUGACACCAAAAUUGAGACACACAUGUAUCUCAAUAAGAUCUACAAAAAAGUCAAUGCGCACGUAUCUGUCAAAUGUACGGUUAAAGGGUUAUUCCGCAUUUUUUGCCGAUCCGCACACAUUGGAAUUUCGCUAACUCCUCCGAAGGCUUUCGUUCCACCGGCACCACAUUUUCUCAGGCCAAUCUACACCCCAUGGCCAUUAAAAGUUAUUCAAAUCAUGACGCUGCACCCCACGGUUUAGGUUCUAGGGGGCGCCAAAGAUAACCGUAAAAUCCACAUAUUUAAAAGUCUUAUAACUUUUUAUUUUUGUCCCCACUGGCCUCCAAGUUUUCUAGGAUGAUGCAAUGUCCAGCCAUCAACACAUUUGUGAAGGAAUUUUUACUCGCCAAAAGAGCGCCCCCCAUGGCAGGAGAAAAAAGUCCAUUUUUUCUUGUCCACUAAGGUGAAAAUACACAUUGUUGAGUGCUACGCCUGUAUGUUUUGUCGUAUUGACACAAAAUUUUACAUACACGUGUCUUUCAAUAAGAUCUUCGAAAAAGUCAAUGGCCACGUAUCUGUAAAAUGUACGGUUAAAGGGUUAUUUCGCAUUUUUUGCAGAUUCGCACACAUUGGAAUUUCGCUAACUCCUCCGAAGGCUUUCGUUCCACCGGCACCACAUUUGCUCAGGCCAAUCUACACCCCAUGGCCAUUAAAAGUUAUUCAAAUCAUGACGCUGCACCCCACGGUUUAGGUUCUAGGGGGCGCCAAAGAUAACCCUAAAAUCCACAUAUUUAAAAGUCUUAUAACUUUUUAUUUUUGUCCUCACUGGCCUCCAUGUUUUCUAGGAUGAUGCAAUGUCCAGCCAUCAACACAUUUGUGAAGGAGUUUUUUCUCGUUAAAAGAGCGCCCCCCAUGGCAGGAGAAUAAAGUCAAGUUUUUCCUGUUCAUCAUUCAAUGGCUCAAACGCACUGCUCUCUCGGCAAAAGCGAAAGGAGGAGCAACUUGCCAUUUGGAUAUAUCUUAGCUGUGUUUGUGCCCUCACUCAUGGUCCAGACUUUUUUCAAAUAGGACAUGGAGUUUUUCUGCAGCGAGCGUUUUGGUAGAAACUGCGCCUCCCGUUCAUUAUAAUGGUAAAUGACCACAAACAAGUGCGCACACCAUCUUUGGACCUUGAGUGUGACGCGAUCGGGUGGGGGAGGCGGUCGUGCUGGGGGCGGCGUGACACGGCUCGGGCCCGCCAGUGCCCCAACGGGGCCCUAGUCUUCUUGUUAUUUUUCUGCCCCUUUGAACUAGAAAAUGGCCCACUUCCCACUGGUGAAAACUCAUGAAAUUUGGCAGGACGACCGGGCCUGGUGAAAAAUUCGAUAUUCUGAAGUCGCCCAAACAAUCAAAUGCAAAAUGGCUCCAUAGCGCCCCCUUAGGUGAAAAAUUCACAUGAUUGAGUGUCACACCUGUACGCUUUGUCAAAAUGACACAAAAUUUGACACACACGUGUAUCUCAAUAAGAUCUACAAAAAAGUCUAUGCGCACGUAUCUGUCAAAUGUACGGUUAAAGGGCUAUUUUGCAUUUUUUGCGGAACCGCACACAUUGGAAUUUCGCUAACUCCUCCGAAGGCUUUCAUUCCACCGGCACCAAAUUUGCUCAGGCCAAUCUACACCCCAUGGCCAUUAAAAGUUGUACAAAUCAUGACGCUGCACCCCACGGUUUACGUUCUAGGGGGCGCCAAAGAUAACCCAAAAAUCCACAUUCUUAAAAGUCUAAUAACUUUUUAUUUUUGCCCUCACUGGCCUCCAAGUUUUCUAGGAUGAUGCAAUGACCAGCCAUCAACACAUUUGUGAAGGAAUUUUUACUCCCCAAAAGAGCGCCCCCCCAUGGCAGGAGAAAAAAGUCCAUUUUUUCUUGUCCCCUAAGGUGAAAAUACAUAUUGUUGAGUGUCACGCCUAUACGCUUUGUCAUAUUGAAAUAAAAUUUGACACACACGUGUAUCUCAAUAAGAUCUACAAAAAAGUCUAUGCGCACGUAUCUGUCAAAUGUACGGUUAAAGGGCUAUUUUGCAUUUUUUGCGGAACCGCACACAUUGGAAUUUCGCUAACUCCUCCGAAGGCUUUCGUUCCACCGGCACCAAAUUUGCUCAGGCCAAUCUACACCCCAUGGCCAUUAAAAGUUGUACAAAUCAUGACGCUGCACCCCACGGUUUACGUUCUAGGGGGCGCCAAAAAUAACCCAAAAAUCCACAGUCUUAAAAGUCUUAUAACUUUUUAUUUUUGUCCUCACUGGCCUCCAGGUUUUCUAGGAUGAUGCAAUGUCCAGCCAUCAACACAUUUGUGAAGGAAUUUUUACUCCCCAAAAGAGCGCCCCCCCAUGGCAGGAGAAAAAAGUCCAUUUUUUCUUGUCCCAUAAGGUGAAAAUACACAUUGUUGAGUGUCACGCCUGUACGCUUUGUCAUAUUGAAACAAAAUUUGACAAUCACGUGUAUCUCAAUAAGAUCUACGAAAAAGUCAAUGCGCACGUAUCUGUCAAAUAUACGGUUAAAGGGCUAUUUUGCAUUUUUUGCGGAACCGCACACAUUGGAAUUUCGCUAACUCCUCCGAAGGCUUUCGUUCCACCGGCACCAAAUUUGCUCAGGCCAAUCUACACCCCAUGGCCAUUAAAAGUUGUACAAAUCAUGACGCUGCACCCCACGGUUUACGUUCUAGGGGGCGCCAAAAAUAACCCAAAAAUCCACAGUCUUAAAAGUCUUAUAACUUUUUAUUUUUGUCCUCACUGGCCUCCAGGUUUUCUAGGAUGAUGCAAUGUCCAGCCAUCAACACAUUUGUGAAGGAAUUUUUACUCCCCAAAAGAGCGCCCCCCCAUGGCAGGAGAAAAAAGUCCAUUUUUUCUUGUCCCAUAAGGUGAAAAUACACAUUGUUGAGUGUCACGCCUGUACGCUUUGUCAUAUUGAAACAAAAUUUGACAAUCACGUGUAUCUCAAUAAGAUCUACGAAAAAGUCAAUGCGCACGUAUCUGUAAAAUGUACGGUUAAAGGGCUAUUACGCAUUUUUGAUUGAUUCGCACACAUUGGAAUGUGGCUAACUCCUCCUAAAGCUUUCGUUCCACCGGCACCACAUUUGCUCAGGCCAAUCUACACCCCAUGGCCAUUAAAAGUUGUACAAAUCAUGACGCUGCACCCCACGGUUUACGUUCUAGGGGGCGCCAAAAAUAACCCAAAAAUCCACAGUCUUAAAAGUCUUAUAACUUUUUAUUUUUGUCCUCACUGGCCUCCAAGUUUUCUAGGAUGAUGCAAUGUCCAGCCAUCAACACAUUUGUGAAGGAAUUUUUACUCCCCAAAAGAGCGCCCCCCCAUGGCAGGAGAAAAAAGUCCAUUUUUUCUUGUCCCAUAAGGUGAAAAUACACAUUGUUGAGUGUCACGCCUGUACGCUUUGUCAUAUUGAAACAAAAUUUGACAAUCACGUGUAUCUCAAUAAGAUCUACGAAAAAGUCAAUGCGCACGUAUCUGUAAAAUGUACGGUUAAAGGGCUAUUACGCAUUUUUGAUCGAUUCGCACACAUUGGAAUGUGGCUAACUCCUCCUAAAGCUUUCGUUCCACCGGCACCACAUUUGCUCAGGCCAAUCUACACCCCAUGGCCAUUAAAAGUUGUACAAAUCAUGACGCUGCACCCCACGGUUUACGUUCUAGGGGGCGCCAAAGAUAACCCAAAAAUCCACAUUCUUAAAAGUCUUAUAACUUUUCAUUUUUGUCCUCACUGGCUUCCAAGUUUUCUAGGCUGAUGCAAUGUCUAGCCAUCAACACAUUUGUGAAGGAAUUUUUACUCCCCAAAAGAGCGCCCCCCCCCCAUGGCAGGAGAAAAAGUCAAGUUUUUCCUGCCCAUCGCUCAAUGGCUCAAACACAUGUCAUGUGUUCAAACUCCUCCGAAAGGAGGAGCAACUUGCCAUUUGGAUAUAUCCUAGCUGUGUUUGUGCCCUCACUCAUGGAUCAGACUUUUUUCAAAUAGGACAUGUAGUUUGUCUGCAGCGAGUGUUUUGGUAGAAACUGCGCCUCCCAUUCAUUAUAAUGGGAAAUGACCACAGACAAGUGCGCACACCAUCUUUGGACCUUGAGUGUGACGCGAUCGGGAGGGGGAGGCGGUCGCGCUGGGGGCGGCGCAACGCGGCUCGGGCCCGACAGUGCCCCAACGGGGCCCUAGUUAUUAUUUUUCCUCCCCUUUGAACUGGAAAAUGGCCCACUUCCCACUGGCGAAAACUCAUGAAAUUUGGCAGGACGACCGGGCCUGGUGAAAAAUUUGAUAUUCUGAAGUCGCCCAAACAAUACAAUGCAAAAUGGCUCCAUAGCGCCCCCUAAGGUGAAAAAUUCACCUGACGCCUGUACGCUUUGUCAAAAUGACACAAAAAUUGAAACACACAUGUAUCUCAAUAAGAUCUAUAAAAAAGUCAGUGCGGGCGUAUCUGUCAAAUGUACGGUUAAAGGGUUAUUUCGCAUUUUUUGCCGAUCCGCACACAUUGGAAUUUCGCUAACUCCUCCGAAGGCUUUCGUUCCACCGGCACCACAUUUGCUCAGGCCAAUCUACACCCCAUGGCCAUUAAAAGUUAUUCAAAUCAUGACGCUGCACCCCACGGUUUAUGUUCUAGGGGGCGCCAAAGAUAACCCUAAAAUCCACAUAUUUCAAAGUCUUAUAACUUUUUAUUUUUGCCCUCACUGGCCUCCAAGUUUUCUAGGAUGAUGCAAUGUCCAGCCAUCAACACAUUUGUGAAGGAAUUUUUACUCCCCAAAAGAGCGCCCCCCCAUGGCAGGAGAAAAAAGUCCAUUUUUUCUUGUUCCAUAAGGUGAAAAUUCACACUAUUGACUGUCACGCCUGUACGCUUUGUCAAAAUUACACAAAAAUUGACACACACAUGUAUCUCAAUAAGAUCUACAAAAAAGUCAGUGCGGGCGUAUCUGUCAAAUGUACGGUUAAAGGGUUAUUGCGCAUUUUUUGCCGAUCCGCACACAUUGGAAUUUCGCUAACUCCUCCGAAGGCUUUCGUUCAACCGGCACCACAUUUGCUCAGGCCAAUCUACACCCCAUGGCCAUUAAAAGUUAUUCAAAUCAUGACGCUGCACCCCACGGUUUAGGUUCUAGGGGGCGCCAAAGAUAACCCUAAAAUCCACAUAUUUAAAAGUCUUAUAACUUUUUAUUUUUGUCCUCUCUGGCCUCCAAGUUUUCUAGGAUGAUGCAAUGUCCAGCCAUCAACACAUUUGUGAAGGAAUUUUUACUCCCUAAAAGAGCGCCCCCCCAUGGCAGGAGAAAAAAGUCCAUUUUUUAUUGUCCCAUAAGGUGAAAAUACACAUUGUUGACUGUCAUACCUGUAUGCUUUGUCAUAUUGACACAAAAUUUGACACACACAUGUAUCUCAAUAAGAUCUACGAAAAAGUCAAUGCGCGCGUAUCUGUAAAAUGUACGGUUAAAGGGCUAUUUUGCAUUUUUUGCCGAUUAGCACACAUUGGAAUGUGGCUAACUCCUCCUAAGGCUUUCGUCCCACUGACACCAAAUUUGCUCAGGCCAAUCUACACCCCAUGGCCAUUCAAAGUUUUAAAAAUCAUGACGCUGCACCCCACGGUUUACGUUCUAGGGGGCGCCAAAGAUAACCCUAAAAUCCACAUAUUUAAAAGUCUUAUAACUUUUUAUUUUUGUCCUCACUGGCCUCCAAGUUUUCUAGGAUGAUGCAAUGUCCAGCCAUCAACACAUUUGUGAAGGAAUUUUUACUCCCCAAAAGAGCGCCCCCCCAUGGCAGGAGAAAAAAGUCCAUUUUUUCUUGUCCCCUAAGGUGAAAAUUCACACUAUUGACUGUCACGCCUGUACGCUUUGUCAAAAUUACACAAAAAUUGACACACACAUGUAUCUCAAUAAGAUCUACAAAAAAGUCAGUGCGGGCGUAUCUGUCAAAUGUACGGUUAAAGGGUUAUUGCGCAUUUUUUGCCGAUCCGCACACAUUGGAAUUUCGCUAACUCCUCCGAAGGCUUUCGUUCAACCGGCACCACAUUUGCUCAGGCCAAAUUACACCCCAUGGCCAUUAAAAGUUAUUCAAAUCAUGACGCUGCACCCCACGGUUUAGGUUCUAGGGGGCGCCAAAGAUAACCCUAAAAUCCACAUAUUUAAAAGUCUUAUAACUUUUUAUUUUUGUCCUCUCUGGCCUCCAAGUUUUCUAGGAUGAUGCAAUGUCCAGCCAUCAACACAUUUGUGAAGGAAUUUUUACUCCCUAAAAGAGCGCCCCCCCAUGGCAGGAGAAAAAAGUCCAUUUUUUAUUGUCCCAUAAGGUGAAAAUACACAUUGUUGACUGUCAUACCUGUAUGCUUUGUCAUAUUGACACAAAAUUUGACACACACAUGUAUCUCAAUAAGAUCUACGAAAAAGUCAAUGCGCGCGUAUCUGUAAAAUGUACGGUUAAAGGGCUAUUUUGCAUUUUUUGCCGAUUAGCACACAUUGGAAUGUGGCUAACUCCUCCUAAGGCUUUCGUCCCACUGACACCAAAUUUGCUCAGGCCAAUCUACACCCCAUGGCCAUUCAAAGUUUUAAAAAUCAUGACGCUGCACCCCACGGUUUACGUUCUAGGGGGCGCCAAAGAUGACCCAAAUAUCCACAUUCUUAAAAGAAUCCACAUCCCUUCCCCCCCUCCCAUCCCCCAUCCCCCAUGGCAGGAGAAACAGUCAAGUUUUUCCUGCCCAUCACUCAAUGGCUCAAUCGCAUCGCUCUCCCGGCAACACCGUAACGAGGAGCAACUUGCCGUUUGGAUAUAUCCUAGCUGUGUUUGUGCCCUCACUCAUGGUCCAGACUUUUUUCAAAUAGGACAUGGAGUUUGUCUGCAGCGAGUGUUUUGGUAGAAACUGCGCCUCCCAUUCAUUAUAAUGGGAAAUGACCACAGACAAGUGCGCACACCAUCUUUGGACCUUGAGUGUGACGCGAUCGGGAGGGGGAGGCGGUCGCACUGGGGGCGGCGCAACGCGGCUCGGGC
This 38976-nucleotide long non-coding RNA is filed under the name Xyrichtys novacula (pearly razorfish). Lineage: Eukaryota; Metazoa; Chordata; Actinopteri; Labriformes; Labridae. The record is from RNAcentral.